CUGAAUAAUUUCUUACCAAUGAAAAAUCUGCUAUAUUAUGAACAAAAACGCAGCCUACUAUCCUGUAAUUCUGAAUGUGUACAAAAUCUCAAAUGCAUGUCUGUUACCAUCUAUGAAAAUAACUGUUAUUUUUACUCCACAAGAAAUCAUGGUAAUAUAACAAGGACAAAUGGUGCUGUGACAUCUGUUAUGACUACAGAUACAAAAUUAUGGUAUGAUGGUUACACAUGUAACAUAGAAUUACUGUGGUGUUAUAAAUAUCACGAUGUCAAUGUGAUCUGGACAGACGCUCAAGAAAUUUGUUUAACAGAAGGUGGUAAUCUACUGACUAUAGAUACAAUGGAAAAACAGAAUAUUAUAUCCAAUGUAACAAGCACUAAAGGCAGUAUCCGCUAUUUCACUGGAAUAAAUGACAUAAAUCAAGAGGGGACUUUUGUGGAUAUCCACGGCAACCCGAUACAAUUUGACUUUUGGGAUGCUAGUCAACCAAAUGGUGGCGUCAACCAAAAUUGUAUG
This is a long non-coding RNA of Patella vulgata (common limpet), 516 nucleotides long. RefSeq lists it as uncharacterized. NCBI's taxonomy places the organism in Eukaryota, Metazoa, Mollusca, Gastropoda, Patellidae. The record is from RefSeq and is a predicted model, not a curated record. The transcript is spliced from 3 exons.